ACGCUCGACACCUACGGAGGCAGCAGUGGGGGAUAUUGCACAAUGGAGGAAACUCUGAUGCAGCGACGCCGCGUGAGGGAAGACGGUUUUCGGAUUGUAAACCUCUGUCUUCAGGGACGAAAUGAAUGACGGUACCUGAGGAGGAAGCUCCGGCUAACUACGUGACAGCAGCCGCGGUAAUCUGAGCGGGCUGGCAAGGC
Molecule: ribosomal RNA, 200 nt
Filed under: uncultured bacterium
Lineage: Bacteria
Description: partial 16S ribosomal RNA
Rfam family: Bacterial small subunit ribosomal RNA
Source: RNAcentral